GCUAGCUGGCUCAAGUGAUGUAUCAUCAGGGUUGCAUUAGAAAAGGGAUGCGCAUUCAAAUGGAGUAAUCAAGGAGAGUUUAAUAAAGGCAGAAUGUAUAAAGGUGCAAGAAGCGUUAAAGAAAACCAAUAAGGAUGGGGAAGCACCCCAGAGAUUGCAACACUUGAGGGCAUUAUGACUCCAGGCCUGAAGAGACAAGGAGAGGGAGUGCUUACGGGAAUGUGGAAAGAGCUGAUGUUGUAGAAUAGGGUCUUCUAGAAUGAUUCCAGUUCAAGGUCCCAGUGCAGAGGGAGCUGGGGGAGUAAAUACCCUCAUUUCUCUUUCCUUCCAUCCCCUAGUCUCCUGCAGGUGACUCCCAUUGGGAAAAUCCAACAAAAGCCGGAGAGUAAAGGAUCCUGUUGACAUAUGCCAUGCAGGUGUCGAUCCCAAGAGCACUCCCGAAGUAACUUCCUGCACGUUAAUCUCUAUCUCAGAGUCUGCUUUCCAGAGAACCCAACCUGUAGUCCUCCACCCCCACUGUAUCCAUGCCCAGUGGAAUGUGACUUUGCAGCUUCUCCAAUCAAGAGAUGAAGUCUAUUUCUCCACUCCUUGAAUCUAGGCUGGUCUUGUGACUUGCUUUGGUCAACAGAAUGAGGCAGAAGUGAUAUCAUACCAUUUCUGAGCCUGAGCCUCCAGAAGUCUUGCAUGCUUCUGCUCUCACUUUUGGAGCCCAGGCCAGCCUACUGGAACAUAAAAGAUGUAUGGCCAAGUCACAGCUGUUCCCCCCCUGACAGCCAACCAUCCCCCAGAAACAGAGCCACCCAGCUGACCACAGUGCAUGAAUGAGCUUGUCCAAGACCAGAAAUACUACCUACCUGAGCCUAGCCCAAAUUGCUGACCUGGAGAAUCAUGAGCUAAUAAACAGUGUUGUUUUAA
This is a long non-coding RNA of Equus quagga, 915 nucleotides long. RefSeq lists it as uncharacterized. The transcript has 2 exons. The record is from RefSeq and is a predicted model, not a curated record. NCBI's taxonomy places the organism in Eukaryota, Metazoa, Chordata, Mammalia, Perissodactyla, Equidae.